This 75-nucleotide transfer RNA is filed under the name Candidatus Zhuqueibacterota bacterium. RNAcentral's name for it is "candidate division KSB1 bacterium (freshwater sediment metagenome) tRNA-Pro". It matches the Rfam family "tRNA". From Rfam's summary of the family: Transfer RNA (tRNA) molecules are approximately 80 nucleotides in length. Their secondary structure includes four short double-helical elements and three loops (D, anti-codon, and T loops). The record is from RNAcentral. Lineage: Bacteria; Pseudomonadati.
CGGGGCGUGGCGCAGCCCGGGUAGCGCGCCUGCUUUGGGAGCAGGAAGUCGGGGGUUCAAAUCCCUCCGCCCCGA